UACGGAAGGAGCAGUGGGGAAUAUUGCACAAUGGGCGCAAGCCUGAUGCAGCCAUGCCGCGUGUAUGAAAAAGGCCUUCGGGUUGUAAAGUACUUUCAGUCGUGAGGAAGGUGUUAAGGUUAAUAACCUUAGCAAUUGACGUUAGCGACAGAAGAAGCACCGGCUAACUCCGUGCCAGCAGCCGCGGUAAUACGGAGGGUGCGAGCGUUAAUCGGAAUUACUGGGCGUAAAGGGCACGCAGGCGGUUAAUUAAGUUGGAUGUGAAAUCCCCGGGCUUAACCUGGGAAUGGCAUUCAAGACUGGUUAGCUAGAGUCUUGUAGAGGGGGUAGAAUUCCAUGUGUAGCGGUGAAAUGCGUAGAGAUGUGGAGGAAUACCGGUGGCGAAGGCGGCCCCUGGCAAAGACUGACGCUCAUGUGCGAAAGCGUGGGGAGCAAACAGGGAUUAGAUACC
RNAcentral lists this ribosomal RNA (451 nucleotides) under uncultured bacterium. RNAcentral describes it as "bacterial SSU rRNA". It matches the Rfam family "Bacterial small subunit ribosomal RNA", at positions 340 to 786 of the family's 1533-position model. The record is from RNAcentral.